GGAAAGUGAUGAAAUUAGGAGAUUUCAUAAUAUCACGGCUGUCAAUUAGGAUCUGUGAUGAGGGACAAAGUUCUAUUUAAUGGGAAGAAACUCUCAAUUGAGAGUCAUUCAGACAAUUCUACAAUCUUGUCAGUAUGUGGGCCGAGCUCGCAUGCAGCUCGUCCCACUUAACACCCCUACCUCUCUUGUUUGAAUCAAUUUCUUAAACCUCUUCCCGCUCAUUGACUACUGGGAGAAGUUUCAAAUGGGACCUUCUUAGACAAUAAAAUUUACAGAAUACAGAUAAGGAAAGCAGUUAUAAUACAAUGCUUGACACAAUUUUCUAUAUGUAUAUAUAUUCUCACUUUCUUUUACAGUUGCAGAUUUAGCUCUUAAUCACUCUAAUAUGUCGCAAAAUGUGAUUUUAGCUAAUUGUUUGGGCUCCAACUAGAGAGAGGGCAAUCGAACGCAUGAAAAGGGCUCUUGAUGACACCAUUAUCACAGGGGUUCCAACAACAAUCGAUUACCAUAAGCUUAUCCUUGACAUUGAGGACUUCAAAAGUGGAAAAGUUGAUACAGCUUUUAUUCCAAAGCAUGAAGAAGAAUUAGCCGCGGUAAGUACCUUUAUUGUUAUCUUAUGCAAACUAAUUUAC
Olea europaea var. sylvestris is the source of this 632-nucleotide long non-coding RNA. RefSeq lists it as uncharacterized. The record is from RefSeq and is a predicted model, not a curated record. NCBI's taxonomy places the organism in Eukaryota, Viridiplantae, Streptophyta, Magnoliopsida, Lamiales, Oleaceae. The transcript is spliced from 3 exons.